Molecule: ribosomal RNA, 484 nt
Filed under: uncultured bacterium
Lineage: Bacteria
Description: partial 16S ribosomal RNA
Rfam family: Bacterial small subunit ribosomal RNA
Source: RNAcentral
AGUGAACGCUGGCGGCAGGCCUAACACAUGCAAGUCGAGCGGCAGCGGGUCCUUCGGGCUGCCGGCGAGUGGCGGACGGGUGAGGAAUGCGUCGGAAUCUGCCUUUUUGUGGGGGAUAACGUAGGGAAACUUACGCUAAUACCGCAUACGACCUACGGGUGAAAGUGGGGGACCGCAAGGCCUCACGCAGAAAGAUGAGCCGACGUCGGAUUAGCUAGUUGGCGGGGUAAAGGCCCACCAAGGCGACGAUCCGUAGCUGGUCUGAGAGGAUGAUCAGCCACACUGGAACUGAGACACGGUCCAGACUCCUACGGGAGGCAGCAGUGGGGAAUAUUGGACAAUGGGCGCAAGCCUGAUCCAGCCAUGCCGCGUGUGUGAAGAAGGCCUUCGGGUUGUAAAGCACUUUUGUCCGGAAAGAAAUCCUGUCGGCUAAUACCCGGCGGGGAUGACGGUACCGGAAGAAUAAGCACCGGCUAACUUCGUG